CAGCUGGGGGAUUAGCUCAAAUGGUAGAGC
RNAcentral lists this non-coding RNA (30 nucleotides) under Cricetulus griseus (Chinese hamster). Lineage: Eukaryota; Metazoa; Chordata; Mammalia; Rodentia; Cricetidae. The record is from RNAcentral.